GACGAACGCUGGCGGCGUGCUUAACACAUGCAAGUCGAACGGAAAGGCCCUGCUUUUGUGGGGUGCUCGAGUGGCGAACGGGUGAGUAACACGUGAGUAACCUGCCUUUGACUUUGGGAUAACUUCAGGAAACUGGGGCUAAUACCGGAUAGGAGCUCCUGCUGCAUGGUGGGGGUUGGAAAGUUUCGGCGGUUGGGGAUGGACUCGCGGCUUAUCAGCUUGUUGUGGGGGUAGUGGCUUACCAAGGCUUUGACGGGGAGCCGGCCUGAGAGGGUGACCGGCCACAUUGGGACUGAGAUACUGCCCAGACUCCUACGGGAGGCAGCAGUGGGGAUUAUUGCCCAAUGGCCGGAAGCCUGAUGCAGCAACGCCGCGUGCGGGAUGACGGCCUUCGGGUUGUAACCCGCUUUCGCCUGUGACGAAGCGUGAGUGACGGUACUGGGUAAAGAAGCACCGGCUAACUACGUG
RNAcentral lists this ribosomal RNA (468 nucleotides) under uncultured bacterium. RNAcentral's name for it is "partial 16S ribosomal RNA". It matches the Rfam family "Bacterial small subunit ribosomal RNA", at positions 28 to 507 of the family's 1533-position model. The record is from RNAcentral.